This 316-nucleotide unclassified non-coding RNA is filed under the name uncultured fungus. Its description in RNAcentral is "sequence contains ITS1". The stretch from base 1 to 107 matches the Rfam family "5.8S ribosomal RNA", at positions 50 to 154 of the family's 154-position model. The record is from RNAcentral. Lineage: Eukaryota; Fungi.
GAAAUGCGAUACUUGGUGUGAAUUGCAGAAUCCCGUGAACCAUCGAGUCUUUGAACGCAAGUUGCGCCCGAAGCCUUCUGGCCGAGGGCACGUCUGCCUGGGCGUCACCGGGGAGGAGGAUGGCUUCCCGUGCCUCACCGGGCGCGGCUGGCCUAAAUAAGGAGCCUCAGGUCACGGACUGCUGCGGCGAUUGGUGAAUAAUCAACUCUAUCCGUGCAGUGCGUGGCCAUCGUGGACUCGUAGGACCCUGUGUUGUCCCCUUAUACGGACAAACCGUUGCGACCCCAGGUCAGGCGGGGCUACCCGCUGAGUUUAA